Molecule: unclassified non-coding RNA, 241 nt
Filed under: uncultured Scleroderma
Lineage: Eukaryota; Fungi; Basidiomycota; Agaricomycetes; Boletales; Sclerodermataceae
Description: sequence contains ITS2
Source: RNAcentral
AAACCUCGGAUCGAUGCUUCGACCCCGUCGAAGCUCGGUUCGGACUGUGGGAGUCUGCCGGCGAAGCGUGACUUCGUCGGCUCUCCUCAAAAGCAUUAGCUGUGGGUGGCGAGCCUGGCAUGGCACGGCCUGUUCGACGUCGUAGUGAUCGUCGCGGGCUGGAAGUGUACGGCUCGACGUGACCCAUGCUUCUCGAGUCUUGCGAGCCCGUCCCUCCGUGGGACGGCCGCGCCCCAUCGAA